GCCUAAGGAAAGAUGUGCUCAUUCCAGUGUAUUGAUUAACACUAGCUCAGGACCACACCUACUAGUGGUGGGUGGGAUUGGUGUUUCUGAUCUUUGGAUAUUUGAUAUUAAAAAUAAAUCAUGGAAGGAACUGUUUAAUAUACCAAAGAAUGUCACUGAUAGAUAUUUUCAUUCUCUCUCAUUGUGGAAUGUAACUCCAACCACUAACUGGGUAAUUGUGUUUGGAGGAGAGAUUUCAUGCACUGAUACAGCAGUUAUUGAACUCAUCCUUAAAGAAACUCAAAUCUCGGGCCUUUUCACAAAGAAACAUAUCAAUGAUUGGUCUACUAGUUUAAUACCUCUGGACCAGUAUCAAGAGAAACUACAAGAAAGGAGAAGAGAAUGGGAAGCA
This is a long non-coding RNA of Amphimedon queenslandica, 391 nucleotides long. RefSeq lists it as uncharacterized. The transcript has 3 exons. NCBI's taxonomy places the organism in Eukaryota, Metazoa, Porifera, Demospongiae, Haplosclerida, Niphatidae. The record is from RefSeq and is a predicted model, not a curated record.